UAGAGUUUGAUCUGGCUCAGAUUGAACGCUGGCGGCAGGCCUAACACAUGCAAGUCGAGCGGCAGCACAAGGGAACUUGUUCCCUGGGUGGCGGGCGGCGGACGGGUGAGUAAUGGCUGGGAACCUGCCCUGAUGUGGGGGAUAACAGUUGGAAACGACUGCUAAUACCGCAUGAUGUCUACGGACCAAAGAGGAGGACCUUCGGGCUUCUCGCGUCAGGAUGGGCCCAGUUGGGAUUAGCUAGUUGGUAGGGUAAUGGCCUACCAAGGCGACGAUCCCUAGCUGGUUUGAGAGGAUGAUCAGCCACACUGGAACUGAGACACGGUCCAGACUCCUACGGGAGGCAGCAGUGGGGAAUAUUGCACAAUGGGCGCAAGCCUGAUGCAGCCAUGCCGCGUGUGUGAAGAAGGCCUUCGGGUUGUAAAGCACUUUCAGCAGUGAGGAAGGUUACGUAGUUAAUACCUGCGUGAUUUGACGUUAGCUGCAGAAGAAGCACCGGCUAACUCCGUGCCAGCAGCCGCGGUAAUACGGAGGGUGCGAGCGUUAAUCGGAAUUACUGGGCGUAAAGCGCAUGCAGGCGGUCUGUUAAGCAAGAUGUGAAAGCCCCGGGCUUAACCUGGGAACCGCAUUUUGAACUGGCAGGCU
Molecule: ribosomal RNA, 645 nt
Filed under: uncultured bacterium
Lineage: Bacteria
Description: bacterial SSU rRNA
Rfam family: Bacterial small subunit ribosomal RNA
Source: RNAcentral